UACGGAGGAGGCAAGCGUUGUUCGGAAUUAUUGGGCGCAAAGCGCGUGUAGGCGGCUUUGCAAGUCGGGUGUGAAAGCCCUCAGCUCAACUGAGGAAGUGCGCCCGAAACUGCAGAGCUUGAGUGCCGGAGAGGGUGGCGGAAUUCCCCAAGUAGAGGUGAAAUUCGUAGAUAUGGGGAGGAACACCGGUGGCGAAGGCGGCCACCUGGACGGCAACUGACGCUGAGACGCGAAAGCGUGGGGAGCAAACAGG
Molecule: ribosomal RNA, 253 nt
Filed under: uncultured bacterium
Lineage: Bacteria
Description: partial 16S ribosomal RNA
Rfam family: Bacterial small subunit ribosomal RNA
Source: RNAcentral